UCUGGUGAUUAUGGCUUGAAGGUAACACCCGUUCCCAUGCCGAACACGAAGGUUAAGCUUCAAAGCGCUGAUGGUACUGCAG
Molecule: ribosomal RNA, 82 nt
Filed under: Clostridium botulinum
Lineage: Bacteria; Bacillati; Bacillota; Clostridia; Eubacteriales; Clostridiaceae
Source: RNAcentral